GAAGAAUUGCGGAUGGAGAAUGCAGCCUCCGUGAAUCAACUACUGACGCUCAUACACGAGAGUGUUGAGAGCAGACAGGAUUCUAUCUCCUUUGUCAGUCCACGCCUCUAAGAGAUAUCAAUUAGAUGGGGUGGGAUUCAUUUCGCUAGUAACGUAGGUACACGCGCAAACUUGACCGCCUGGGGGGUACCGUCUCAAAAACACAACUCAAACGAAUGGGCGCGCACCCUCCCGAGCGGUGCAUGGUGUUGAUUAAUUCGAACCAACGAGCAAAACCUUACCUCCCCUUCACAUGUUACCAAUCCCGAUAUGAGCGUUGGCUUUCUCGAAAGAGAACCGACAGCACAGGCAUUGCAGUGCUGUGCUCAGCUCGUGUCAUGAGAUGUUAGGUUCAGUCCCGCAAACAGCCCAACCUUUGUCUUUAGUUCCACUACAAGAGCACUCUAAGGAGACGGCCGUUGACAAAACCGGAGGAAGGUGGGGAUGACGUCAAAUCCUCAUGGCCCUUAUGGGUGGGCUUCACACGUCCUACAAUGGUCGGUACAGAGACUGCCAACCCUCGAGGCGGAGCUAAUCCCAGAAAACCCAUCGUAGUUCGGC
Molecule: ribosomal RNA, 600 nt
Filed under: uncultured bacterium
Lineage: Bacteria
Description: bacterial SSU rRNA
Rfam family: Bacterial small subunit ribosomal RNA
Source: RNAcentral